GCGCCAGCUGGCGCAUACCCCUCUGCUUACCAGCUAGCACACAUGAGCCGGCUGGCGCAUGCACCUCUACAUACUUACGAGCGAGCCUCCACUUACGAGGGAGCACACAUGCGCCGGCUGGCGCAUGCUCCUCUACAUACUUACGAGUGACCCUCUACUUACGAGCGAGCACACAUGCGCCGGCUGGCGCAUGCUCCUCUGCUUACGAGCGAGCACACAUGCGCCGGCUGGCGCAUGCUCCUCUACAUACUUACGAAUGACCCUCUGCUUACGAGCGAGCACACAUGCGCCGGCUGGCGCAUGCUCCUCUGCUUACGAGCGAGCACACAUGUGCCGGCUGGCGCAUGCUACUCUCCUUACGAGCGAGCACACAUGCGUCGGCUGGCGCAUGCUCCUCUGCUUACGAGCGAGCUUCCACUUACGAGCGAGCACACAUGCCCCGGCUGGCCCAUGCUCCUCAACAUACUUACGAGCGAGCCUCCACUUACGAGCGAGCGCACAUGCGCCCGCUGGCGCAUGCUCCUAUACAUACUUACGAGCGAGCCUCCACAUACGGGCGAGCACACAUGCGCUAGCGCAUGCUCCUCUACUUACGAUCGAGCCUCCACUUACGAGCGAGCACACAUGCGCCGGCUGGCGCAUGCUCCUUUCGUUACGAGCGAGGACACAUGCGCCGGCUAGCGCAUGCUCCUCUGAUUACGAGCGAGCACACACAUGCCGGCUGGCGCAUGCUCCUCUACUUACGAGCGAGCCUCCAAUUACGAGCGAUCACAGAUGCGCCGGUAGGCGCGUGCUCCUCUACUUACGAGCAAGCCUCUACUUACGAGCGAGCACACAUGCGCCGGCCGACACAUGCUCUUUUACAUAUGAGCGAGCACACCUGCUCCUUCACAUACGAGCAUCUUAGUCUCCAUGCGAGUCUAUUGCUCCACAUACGAGCAUACCAGUCUCCUUACGAGCCUGCUGCUCUACAUACGAGCACGUAAGUCGCCAUACUCACAUGCUCCCUUACUUACGUUCACGUAAGUCGCCAUAAGCGCAUGCUUCUUUACAUACGGGCGUCUCAGUCACCGUGCGAGCCUGCUGCUCUACAUACGAGCAUGUAAGACGCCAUGCGCGCAUGCUCCUUUUCAUACGAGCAUCUCAGUCUCAAUGUGAGUCUACUGCCUUACAUACGAGCACGUAAGUCGCCGUACGCGCAUGCUCCUUUACAUACGAGCACCCCAGCCUCCAUGCCAGCCUGCUGCUCUACAUACGAGCACACCAGUCUCCUUGCGAGCCUGGUGGUCUACAUACGAGUACGUAAGUUGCCACGAGCGCAUGCUCCUUUACAUACGUGCAUCUCAGUCUCAAAGCAAGUCUGCUGCUCUACAUACGAGCACGUAAGUUGCGAUACGCGCAUUCUCCCUUAUGAGCGAGCACACAUGCGCGGGCUGGCGCAUACCCCUCUGCUUACCAGCGUGCACACAUGCGCCGGCUGGCUCAUGCUCUUCUACAUAUGAGCGAGCCUCCGCUAACGAGCGAGCACACAUGCGCCGGUUGGCGCAUGCUCAUCUUCUUACGAGCUAGAACACAUGUGCCAGCUGGCGCAUGCUCCUCUAAUUACGAGCGAGCCUCCACUUACGAGCGAUCACAAAUGCGCCGGCUGGCGCGUGCUCCUCUACUUACGAGCAAGUCUCUCCUUACGAGCGAGCACACAUGCUCCUAUACAUACGAAGGAGCACACCUGCUCCUUUACAUACGAGCAUCUCAGUCUCCAUGCGAGUCUGCUGCUCUACAUACGAGCAUACCAGUUUUCUUGCGAGCUUGCUACUCUACAUACGAGCAAGUAAGUCGCCAUACGCGCAUGCUCCUUUUCAUACGAGCAUCUCAGUCCCCGUGCGAGCCUGCCGCUCUACAUACGAGCACGUAAGUCGCCACGCGCGCAUGCUUCUUUACAUACUUUACAUACGAGCAUAUCAGUCUCAAUGCUAGUCUACUGCUCUACGUACGAGCACGUAAGUCGCCAUACGCGCAUUCUCCCUUAUGAGCGAGCAUACAUGCGCCGGCUGGCGC
RNAcentral lists this long non-coding RNA (2055 nucleotides) under Helianthus annuus (common sunflower). Its description in RNAcentral is "sRNA HanXRQr2_Chr11g0485361". The record is from RNAcentral. Lineage: Eukaryota; Viridiplantae; Streptophyta; Magnoliopsida; Asterales; Asteraceae.